RNAcentral lists this ribosomal RNA (516 nucleotides) under uncultured bacterium. RNAcentral's name for it is "bacterial SSU rRNA". It matches the Rfam family "Bacterial small subunit ribosomal RNA", at positions 29 to 518 of the family's 1533-position model. The record is from RNAcentral.
AUGAAUGCUGGCGGCGUGCCUAAUACAUGCAAGUCGAGCGGUAACAGGGGGUCUCACCGUUUCCUUGACACACCUAGCGCAUUAUCGUAGGUUGAUGACUUCGAGGGAACCGUGAGAUCCUGCUGACGAGCGGCGGACGGCUGAGUAACGCGUGGGAACGGACCCCAAACUGAGGGAUAACUACUCGAAAGAGUAGCUAAUACCGCAUAUGAUCUCGGAUAAAGCUUCGAGCGUUUGGGACUGGCCUGCGUACGAUUAGAUAGUUGGCGGGGUAAGAGCCCACCAAGUCGACGAUCGUUAGAUGGUUUGAGAAGAUGAUCAUCCAGACUGGGACUGAGACACGGCCCAGACUCCUACGGGAGGCAGCAGUAGGGAAUCUUUCACAAUGGGCGAAAGCCCUGAUGGAGCAACGCCGCGUGCAGGAUGACGGCCUUCGGGUUGUAAACCGCUUUUAUAACCGAGAAAUAUGAUGGUAAGUUAUGAAUAAGGACCGGCUAACUACGUGCCAGCAGCCGC